CGAUGCGGAGCAAAUCCCUAAAAGCGGUCUCAGUUCGGAUCGCAGGCUGCAACUCGCCUGCGUGAAGUCGGAAUUGCUAGUAAUCGCGGAUCAGCAUGCCGCGGUGAAUACCGUUCCCGGGCCUUGUACACACCGCCCGUCACACCAUGAGAGCUGGGAACACCCGAAGUCCGUAGUCUAACCGCAAGGAGGACGCAGCCGAAGGUGGGCUUGGUAAUUGGGGUGAAGUCGUAACAAGGUAUC
This 243-nucleotide ribosomal RNA is filed under the name uncultured bacterium. RNAcentral describes it as "partial 16S ribosomal RNA". It matches the Rfam family "Bacterial small subunit ribosomal RNA", at positions 1258 to 1500 of the family's 1533-position model. The record is from RNAcentral.